UUAGGUCUAGCACGGCAGUUUCUGUUCAGUUCUGGCGAGACCAUGUCCGGCUUACUGAGCUAACAUCUUGACUUGAGACUGCUUUCGGGCUUCGGACCUUUCAUGUAAGCGGGGCAAACAAACCUUUAAACAUUUGCGAGCACGUAUUUAAAAUUAAAUUAAAAAAAAUCUAUUGUAUAUGUUGACAAAACUAAAAGGAUAAAAAAAACAUUUAAGG
RNAcentral lists this long non-coding RNA (217 nucleotides) under Populus trichocarpa (black cottonwood). RNAcentral describes it as "long non-coding RNA (PTRI_LNC003664)". The record is from RNAcentral. Lineage: Eukaryota; Viridiplantae; Streptophyta; Magnoliopsida; Malpighiales; Salicaceae.